Molecule: ribosomal RNA, 445 nt
Filed under: uncultured bacterium
Lineage: Bacteria
Description: partial 16S ribosomal RNA
Rfam family: Bacterial small subunit ribosomal RNA
Source: RNAcentral
GCUUAACACAUGCAAGUCGAACGAACUUAUUAGGGCUUGCUCUAAUAAGUUAGUGGCAGACGGGUGAGUAAUACAUAGGAAUCUACCCAGCAGUACGGAAUAACUUUUGGAAACGAAAGAUAAUACCGUAUACAGCUGAGAAGGGAAAGAUUUAUCGCUGUUGGAUGAGCCUAUGCAGGAUUAGCUAGUUGGUGGGGUAAUGGCCUACCAAGGCGAUGAUCCUUAGCUGGUCUGAGAGGAUGAACAGCCACACUGGAACUGAGACACGGUCCAGACUCCUACGGGAGGCAGCAGUGGGGAAUUUUGGACAAUGGGCGAAAGCCUGAUCCAGCGACGCCGCGUGAGUGAUGAAGGCCUUAGGGUUGUAAAGCUCUUUCAGUAGGGAAGAUAGUGACGGUACCUACAGAAGAAGCCCCGGCUAACUUCGUGCCAGCAGCCGCCGUAA